RNAcentral lists this ribosomal RNA (459 nucleotides) under uncultured bacterium. RNAcentral describes it as "partial 16S ribosomal RNA". It matches the Rfam family "Bacterial small subunit ribosomal RNA", at positions 338 to 795 of the family's 1533-position model. The record is from RNAcentral.
CCUACGGGUGGCAGCAGUGAGGAAUAUUGGUCAAUGGCCGGAAGGCUGAACCAGCCAAGCCGCGUGAAGGACGAAGGUGCCAAGCAUUGUAAACUUCUUUUGUCAAGGGACAAAAUCAGGCUCGAGAGCCUGACCGAGGGUACUUGAAGAAAAAGCAUCGGCUAACUCCGUGCCAGCAGCCGCGGUAAUACGGAGGAUGCGAGCGUUAUCCGGAUUUAUUGGGGUAAAAGGGUGCGUAGGCGGACUGUUAAGUCAGCGGUAAAAGCCCGGGGCUCAACCCCGGCGAGCCGUUGAAACUGGCUGGCUUGAGAGCGCGAGAGGUAAGCGGAAUGCGCAGUGUAGCGGUGAAAUGCUUAGAUAUUGGGCAGAACUCCGAUUGCGAAGGCAGCAUACCGGCGGCGAUCUGACGCUGAGGCACGAAAGCGUGGGUAGCGAACAGGAUUAGAUACCCGAGUAGUC